AGGAGACGAAGCUGGGGUAGGUGUGGAGGAGACAAAGCUGGUGGCGUGCAUGGAGGAGAUAGAGCCGGGGUCUGGUGUGGACGUGCUGGGGGCAGGCACUGAGGAGACGAAUUCGGCAGCGUGCGUGGAUCGGAGGAGACAAGGCUGGGGGUGGGAGCAGAGGAGAUAGAGCCGACGUGCCUGGGUCGAGCGGAGCAAAGCAAGACUAAGAAGGUGGGGGUGGGAGCGGAUUGGGGUGGCGGAUGUGAAAAAGACCCACAACCAGAAUUCAUUAAAAAUUAGGGUCCGAGGUAAGAUUUACACCUGACGCACUUUAUCCACACGCGUCUCCUAUACUACCCAACUUAUAGGAGAUGCACUGAUGUACCUAUAUUGGAGACGCGUUUUAAUGGGAACAAACACAUUGGAGACGCGUUUAAUACGUGUCUUCAAUUUAACAUUGGAGACGCGUUUUAAUUCCACGUCUCUAAUAAGGAUGUCUUCUUUGUGACUUUCUUACAUAAUGGCGUUUAGUCUACUCACACUAGCCUAAACAAGAACCGACACGAAUAAAGACAUAAA
Molecule: long non-coding RNA, 561 nt
Filed under: Setaria viridis
Lineage: Eukaryota; Viridiplantae; Streptophyta; Magnoliopsida; Poales; Poaceae
Description: long non-coding RNA (SVIR_LNC006518)
Source: RNAcentral